Molecule: ribosomal RNA, 465 nt
Filed under: Vreelandella stevensii
Lineage: Bacteria; Pseudomonadati; Pseudomonadota; Gammaproteobacteria; Oceanospirillales; Halomonadaceae
Description: partial 16S ribosomal RNA
Rfam family: Bacterial small subunit ribosomal RNA
Source: RNAcentral
CCUACGGGAGGCUGCAGUGGGGAAUAUUGGACAAUGGGGGGAACCCUGAUCCAGCCAUGCCGCGUGUGUGAAGAAGGCCCUCGGGUUGUAAAGCACUUUCAGUGAGGAAGAACGCCUGGUGGUUAAUACCCAUCAGGAAAGACAUCACUCACAGAAGAAGCACCGGCUAACUCCGUGCCAGCAGCCGCGGUAAUACGGAGGGUGCGAGCGUUAAUCGGAAUUACUGGGCGUAAAGCGCGCGUAGGUGGCUUGAUAAGCCGGUUGUGAAAGCCCCGGGCUCAACCUGGGAACGGCAUCCGGAACUGUCAAUCUAGAGUGCAGGAGAGGAAGGUAGAAUUCCCGGUGUAGCGGUGAAAUGCGUAGAGAUCGGGAGGAAUACCAGUGGCGAAGGCGGCCUUCUGGACUGACACUGACACUGAGGUGCGAAAGCGUGGGUAGCAAACAGGAUUAGAUACCCUAGUAGUC